AUCUUGUGACAAAUGCUGCAUAAAAUAGUUAUGUAGAGGAAAGUCCAUGCUCGCACAAGCUGAGAUGCUUGUAGUGUUUGUGCCUAAGGAAAAAAUAACUUAGGGUAGUUUAUAACUAACGGCUUCGAGGAAACCUCAAAUGGUUUUAGUAGAUAUAAAAGUGCCAAAGAGACGAGUUACAAGGGAAACUUUGUAAGUGGAACGUGGUAAACCCCGCAAGCGAGAAACCCAAAUUUUGGUAGGGGAGCCUUGAUUCUUAAGAAAUGAAUUAAGAAUGGGUAUCAAAAGAUAAGAUAAAUAUUUGUCACUUCAUAUGAAGAACAAAACAUGGCUUACUUAG
Non-coding RNA from Clostridium sp. CAG:609, 340 nucleotides. The record is from Rfam. Lineage: Bacteria; Bacillati; Bacillota; Clostridia; Eubacteriales; Clostridiaceae.